UACAGAGGUCCCGAGCGUUGUUCGGAUUCACUGGGCGUAAAGGGUGCGUAGGUGGCUUGAAAAGUUUGAUGUGAAAGCUCAGGGCUUAACCCUGAAAUGGCAUUGAAAACUGUCGGGCUGGAGGUUUGGAGGGGGGACUGGAAUUCUUGGUGUAGCAGUGAAGUGCGUAGAUAUCAAGAGGAACACCAGUGGCGAAGGCGAGUCCCUGGACAACACCUGACACUGAGGCACGAAAGCUAGGGGAGCAAACAGG
This 253-nucleotide ribosomal RNA is filed under the name uncultured bacterium. RNAcentral's name for it is "partial 16S ribosomal RNA". It matches the Rfam family "Bacterial small subunit ribosomal RNA", at positions 524 to 776 of the family's 1533-position model. The record is from RNAcentral.